This 160-nucleotide unclassified non-coding RNA is filed under the name uncultured Diaporthe. Its description in RNAcentral is "sequence contains ITS2". Lineage: Eukaryota; Fungi; Ascomycota; Sordariomycetes; Diaporthales; Diaporthaceae. RNAcentral also lists the same sequence under 1 other name. The record is from RNAcentral.
CAACCCUCAAGCCUGGCUUGGUGAUGGGGCACUGCUUUUUACCCAAAAAGCAGGCCCUGAAAUUCAGUGGCGAGCUCGCCAGGACCCCGAGCGCAGUAGUUAAACCCUCGCUCUGGAAGGCCCUGGCGGUGCCCUGCCGUUAAACCCCCAACUUCUGAAA